Molecule: ribosomal RNA, 875 nt
Filed under: uncultured euryarchaeote
Lineage: Archaea; Methanobacteriati; Methanobacteriota
Description: bacterial SSU rRNA
Rfam family: Archaeal small subunit ribosomal RNA
Source: RNAcentral
GGUCACCGCUAUUGGAAUCCGCUUAAGCCAUGCGAGUCGAGAGGGUUCGGCCCUCGGCACACUGCUCAGUAACACGUGGACAAUCUGCCCUCGGGUGGGGGAUAACCUCGAGAAAUUGAGAAUAAUACCCCAUAGGUCCCAUAUGCUGGAACGCUUUGGGAUCGAAAGCUGCGGCGCCCGAGGAUGAGUCUGCGGCUCAUCAGGUUGUAGUGAGUGUAACGGACUCACUAGCCGACAACGAGUACGGGCCUUGGAAGAGGUCGCCCGGAGAUGGACUCUGAGACACGAGUCCAGGCCCUACGGGGCGCAGCAGGCGCGAAAACUUCGCAAUGUGGGAAACCACGACGAGGGGAUUCCACGUGCUUAUGGUUUUCCAUGGGCUGUUUUCCUGCCUAAAUAGCAGGGAGAGUAGGGCUGGGUAAGACGGGUGCCAGCCGCCGCGGUAAUACCCGCAGCUCGAGUGGUGAUCGUUCUAUUGGGCCUAAAGCGUCCGUAGCCGGCUCAGUAAAUCCUUGGGUAAAUCGGGCAGCUUAACUGUCCGACUUCCGGGGAGACUGCUGAACUUGGGACUGGGAGAGGUCGGAGGUACUCCGGGGGUAGAGGUGAAAUUCUGUAAUCCCCGGGGGACCACCAGUGGCGAAGGCGUCCGACUUGAACGGGUCCGACGGUGAGGGACGAAGCCCUGGGGCACAAACCGGAUUAGAUACCCGGGUAGUCCAGGGUGUAAACGCUGCGGGCUUGGUGUUGGGGGUCCUACGUGGGCGCUCAGUGCCGGAGAGAAGUUGUUAAGCCCGCCGCCUGGGAAGUACGGUCGCAAGGCUAAAACUUAAAGGAAUUGGCGGGGGAGCACCACAAGGGGUGAAGCCUGCGGUUCA